GCGCCCAUAGCUCAGCUGGACAGAGCACCGGAUUUCUAAUCCGGCGGUCCCAGGUUCGAGUCCUGGUGGGCGUGCCA
Molecule: transfer RNA, 77 nt
Filed under: Planctomycetota bacterium
Lineage: Bacteria; Pseudomonadati; Planctomycetota
Description: tRNA-Arg
Rfam family: tRNA
About the family: Transfer RNA (tRNA) molecules are approximately 80 nucleotides in length. Their secondary structure includes four short double-helical elements and three loops (D, anti-codon, and T loops).
Source: RNAcentral